This 574-nucleotide ribosomal RNA is filed under the name uncultured fungus. Its description in RNAcentral is "eukaryotic LSU rRNA". It matches the Rfam family "Eukaryotic large subunit ribosomal RNA", at positions 66 to 655 of the family's 3401-position model. The record is from RNAcentral. Lineage: Eukaryota; Fungi.
ACACAGGGAUUGCCUCAGUAACGGCGAGUGAAGCGGCAACAGCUCAAAUUUGAAAUCUGGCCCUUUCAGGGUCCGAGUUGUAAUUUGUAGAGGAUGCUUCGGCGUUUGCGCUGCCUAAAGUUCCUUGGAACAGGACGUCAUAGAGGGUGAGAAUCCCGUAUGUGACCGGCCCGCACCCUUUACGUAGCCCCUUCGACGAGUCGAGUUGUUUGGGAAUGCAGCUCUAAAUGGGAGGUAAAUUUCUUCUAAAGCUAAAUACCGGCCAGAGACCGAUAGCGCACAAGUAGAGUGAUCGAAAGAUGAAAAGCACUUUGGAAAGAGAGUCAAACAGCGCGUGAAAUUGUUGAAAGGGAAGCGCUUGCGGUCAGACUUGGCCGUCGUUGCUCGGAGGGUCCUCGUGUCCCUUCUGUUCUUCGGCGGCUGGGCCAGCAUCGACUCGGGCGGUUGGAUAAAGACUGCGGGAACGUGGCUCCUCUCGGGGAGUGUUAUAGCCCGCGGUGGAAUGCAGCCAGCCUGGGUCGAGGUCUGCGCAUCUGCUAGGAUGCUGGCGUAAUGGCCUCAAGCGGCCCGUCUG